RNAcentral lists this long non-coding RNA (1156 nucleotides) under Monodelphis domestica (gray short-tailed opossum). RNAcentral describes it as "lncRNA (ENSMODG00000031137.2)". Lineage: Eukaryota; Metazoa; Chordata; Mammalia; Didelphimorphia; Didelphidae. The record is from RNAcentral.
CUCUGUGUAUAAUGCUCUAAACCAAAGGAAGUAUUAAUGAUUAUUGAGGAAAAUGAAGUGUUUAUUGAAAGAAUGAAGGAAGUACUUCAAGGAGGAAACAAAGAAGAAAACAGAUACAAAGAGGCAAAGGGAAGGUUUCACCUGAGUCAUAGAUGACCCAGGGAACAAGGGAGAAAAGGACUGCUGAACAUCUGGUGGUCUAGAAUAGCUAUGAGGCUCUUCCUGUAGAGGGCAGACCUGGACCAUUUCUGGAGGCAGAAGCUUCUUUAAUUUCAAGGAAAAAUGAUGUGGCUCCAUAGAAGGGUCUUCUAACAAGCAUCAGGGGAAAAGGAAUGGUGGUGAUUCUCUAUUAAAGAGACUUUUUCAUGUGGGGAACCAUGCCAGAAGAUUCAAGACAAGCACCAGCGAUUUGAUAGCCACCAAAGAUCAGGAAAAUUUGAUGACUAAUAACCAUUUGUGGUCAUUCUCAGAGGAACAAAUUUUAUCACCUGAACAAAUCUAGAAAGCCCAUCUAUGGACUUGUAAGACUUACAUCAAAUACCAAACACCUUGGCAGGAGUUGGGGCAAGAAGGGGCACAAGAGAAAUUUUCAACAAUACCACCAAUUAAAGGUAAGGCAUUCAAAGCAGAGAAGCAAAUUUAGGAAGCAAACAGCUUCCCGACAUGAUGAUGUCUGAGACUGGGAUGGAGAUGACUAUGACUUAAAAUAUAGGAAUGGUACCUUCUUGACCCGUGAUAGAGCAUACCUAACAAGAUCCAGAAAAAACAUCUUUACUUGGAGGCUAGGAAAUCUAAUCAAAAGAGUUUAACACUAAAAAGAGGAGGCAAAAAAUUAUCCACAUAAAUUUGGGAAUGCUGGGAGCAUAGGAAUUAGCAGACACAAUCUAGGAGGAAGAAUAUCAGAAGAAAGAACCAAUAAUUCAUGGGAGAUAAUAUGCAGGAAGAGAGACAGAAGUAAAAUUUAUGUCCUUAAAAGUCUAUAUGUAUGUGUACAAAAUGUGAUAAUGUAAUUAAGGAAGAUUGAUUAAAGAGUCCAAUUCAAGGCAGCUAGGUGGAAUAGUGGAGAGACCACCAGACUUGAAAUCAGGAAGACUCAUCCAGAUGAGUCAGAAUCCCACUUCAGACAUUUACUAACCAUGUGACCCUAGGUAAGUCA